AGUGAACGCUGGCGGUAGGCCUAACACAUGCAAGUCGAACGGCAGCACAGUAAGAGCUUGCUCUUACGGGUGGCGAGUGGCGGACGGGUGAGGAAUACAUCGGAAUCUACUUUUUCGUGGGGGAUAACGUAGGGAAACUUACGCUAAUACCGCAUCCGACCUACGGGUGAAAGCAGGGGAUCUUCGGACCUUGCGCGAUUGAAUGGGCCGAUGUCGGAUUAGCUAGUUGGCGGGGUAAAGGCCCACCAAGGCGACGAUCCGUAGCUGGUCUGAGAGGAUGAUCAGCCACACUGGAACUGAGACACGGUCCAGACUCCUACGGGAGGCAGCAGUGGGGAAUAUUGGACAAUGGGCGCAAGCCUGAUCCAGCCAUACCGCGUGGGUGAAGAAGGCCUUCGGGUUGUAAAGCCCUUUUGUUGGGAAAGAAAAGCAGCAGGUUAAUACCCCGCUGUUCUGACGGUACCCAAAGAAUAAGCACCGGCUAACUUCGUG
RNAcentral lists this ribosomal RNA (492 nucleotides) under uncultured bacterium. RNAcentral's name for it is "partial 16S ribosomal RNA". It matches the Rfam family "Bacterial small subunit ribosomal RNA", at positions 29 to 507 of the family's 1533-position model. The record is from RNAcentral.